Molecule: non-coding RNA, 89 nt
Organism: Mycena metata
Lineage: Eukaryota; Fungi; Basidiomycota; Agaricomycetes; Agaricales; Mycenaceae
Source: the annotation of a GenBank genome assembly
GAUCAGAUAGCACAGUGGUUAGUGCGCGGACGUCUUGAUUAUGGAAUGCCAUGUUGCCUGCUACCCUCGUUUGGUUCGGGGUCUGUUCA